Dipodomys spectabilis (banner-tailed kangaroo rat) is the source of this 482-nucleotide long non-coding RNA. RefSeq lists it as uncharacterized. The record is from RefSeq and is a predicted model, not a curated record. The transcript is spliced from 3 exons. NCBI's taxonomy places the organism in Eukaryota, Metazoa, Chordata, Mammalia, Rodentia, Heteromyidae.
GUUGUAUCGAAAUGAAUCCAUCAAGGGGAAUGGGAUCUCGAUUCUCUCUCUUCCGUGGUCGCCGGUUCCUGGGGGGAAACAUAAAAGUUUCCCAAGCAUGAAGCACUGAAACUCUUUUUACUACAAGUUGUGCAAUAACAAAUGACUAGCCUGGAACAGGACGAUGUUGGGUGUCUGCUCUCAGCGGCUCUGCUGUGCGUCCCAGGGCAGCUGCUGGCUCUGCUCCGGCCCGAUCUCCUGCUGGGAUUCUGCAAGCCCGCUACAAGCUAGAUACUGCCCACCCAUCCCCCUACUGCCCAAUGACUGUCCUGGUGCGAAACUCCUGAGAACACUGGCCUGUCUUCUGGGUGACAGGACUCCACAUGGAGCUGGCCUGAAGGGCUCUCAUUAAACUUUCAUGAGCUGAAUGUUCUGGAACUCAUGGAUCUCUGAUGAGUGGCAAUGCAAAGCCCCUGUGAGCCCUGUGUGAGGUCCUUAUAAUG